RNAcentral lists this long non-coding RNA (1275 nucleotides) under Ailuropoda melanoleuca (giant panda). RNAcentral describes it as "lncRNA (ENSAMEG00000027758.1)". The record is from RNAcentral. Lineage: Eukaryota; Metazoa; Chordata; Mammalia; Carnivora; Ursidae.
CCCACCUACCUAGAGUUGUCAGUUUCCCCGGGCUCCUGACCAUGCCUGUGUUGUUUCUCUUAUGGGUCUGUGUAGUCAUUAUUGUUUUCCCAACUCCAUUUGUGUUUUUAUGCAUAAGAAUCAUGUUUGAUUCCUCUUUUCAGUCCCCUGGGUAGAAAAUGGUAGGAGUUGUCCUUUAUGGUGUCCAAUUUGGGCCUGUACCAUCAGUCUGCACCUGCCUUCUCUACUAGAUUUGGUCGAGUUUACAGAACAUUCCGGGGCUUAGGGAGAUGACAUUCCAAUGACAUGGCCUGUUGUGAUUCAAGAAAUAGGGGAGAUGCAAAAAGCCCAUGGGAGGAGGUUUUAUUUAUUUAUUUAAGAGAGGGAGAAGAGCAAGAAUCCCAAGCAGAUUCACACUCAAUGUGGAGCCCCAUGUGGGGCUCGAUCCCACAACCCUGAGAUCAUGACCUGAGCCAAAAUCAAGAGUCAGACGCUUAACUGACUGAGCCACCCAGGCAUCCUGAAAAUGUAAUGUUUCUAACUAGUGACAUAAAAAUAAACUUUGUAAGGAAUUCAUGGUCAUAACUGGGGUGGAAACUAGCUUUCUUCAUUUGAAAGAAGUCCAUUAAGCAAGAUUUUUAAAAAUCCAGAAGAGUAUGUUGUGGCCUUUCCUAUUCUUCUCAGCCUAUUCCAAUUUCUCAAACUACACUGAGUUUUUAUAUGGCAUUUCCCCUUCUAAUUCAGCCCUACUGUUGCUUUGAAGCUAUACUUUCUCAGGAAGGACUCUACCCCAGGAAGGACUUAAGACUAUUUUGGCGAGAAAACUUUCCUGCAUCUGCUGUGAAUUCUCUUUAUGGGUUGUCUGUGUAGCCUGUUAAUGACCUUAAAAGGGGGAUUCAAUUAACCUGUAGGAAAAAAAGACAAUGAUUUUGAUUUCUCAAAAUUAUAUUUAUUAACUGUGUUUUCCAGUAGUAAUUAGGAAGAAAACUUUUCAGUAGAGAGGAUCUCUGGUGCAGCAAGUAGGGGUCCAGACAAGCUGGAGAUGCACCAGUUUUUUUCAUAGCUAGUCCACAAGAGAGAGGAACCUCUGAAAAACCAUUGUAUUGUAGCAGUUUAGAGCAGGAGAGAAAAAUAUGGGAUUUCUGUUGUCCUAUUUGAUGGACAGGAAUUUGUCCUACUCAUAGCCCAUCAUAUGGGGACAGGAACACUGGGAAGGCUAAGACUGUAUGCUUUAAAUUGUUUGUAAUAGUCCUUGGUGGGCAGAUAGUUUAUUUAUAAAGAACUUGAUCAUAAUAG